UACAGAGGUGGCAAGCGUUGUUCGGAAUUACUGGGCGUAAAGGGCGCGUAGGCGGCUUGAUAAGUCGGAUGUGAAAGCCCUGGGCUCAACCUGGGAACUGCAUUCGAUACUGUCGAGCUAGAGUGUGGGAGAGGGUGGUGGAAUUCCCGGUGUAGCGGUGAAAUGCGUAGAUAUCGGGAGGAACAUCAGUGGCGAAGGCGACCGCCUGGCCCAACACUGACGCUGAGGUGCGAAAGCGUGGGUAGCAAACAGGAUUAGAUACCCCGGUAGU
RNAcentral lists this ribosomal RNA (271 nucleotides) under uncultured bacterium. Its description in RNAcentral is "partial 16S ribosomal RNA". It matches the Rfam family "Bacterial small subunit ribosomal RNA", at positions 524 to 794 of the family's 1533-position model. The record is from RNAcentral.